Molecule: non-coding RNA, 243 nt
Filed under: Ruminococcus sp.
Lineage: Bacteria; Bacillati; Bacillota; Clostridia; Eubacteriales; Oscillospiraceae
Description: T-box sequence
Rfam family: T-box leader
About the family: Uncharged tRNA acts as the effector for transcription antitermination of genes in the T-box leader family. T-boxes are found upstream of many aminoacyl-tRNA synthetase genes and some amino acid biosynthetic genes usually in Gram-positive bacteria.
Source: RNAcentral
UCAAAUGCUAUGACAGGAAAUAAACCCGCAGCUUCUUUUCCAGAGAGCCGCAGCAUUGGUGAAAUGCGGUACUGAACUUCGGUUAUACUCGUCCUUGAGCAGUCGGCUGAAAGCAUAUGCAAUUAGGCUUGAACGGGUUCUCCCGUUACAGAGAUGCGCAUUGUCAGAUGCGAAAUGAGGUAUUGCAGGCAACUGUGAUACGAAUGAGAGUGGUAACACGGGUAAAUUCAGCUCGUCUCUCGA